UACGUAGGGUGCAAGCGUUACUCGGAAUUACUGGGCGUAAAGCGUGCGCAGGCGGUUUUGUAAGUCAGAUGUGAAAUCCCCGGGCUUAACCUGGGAACUGCGUUUGAAACUACAAGGCUAGAGUGUGGCAGAGGGGGGUGGAAUUCCACGUGUAGCAGUGAAAUGCGUAGAGAUGUGGAGGAACACCGAUGGCGAAGGCAGCCCCCUGGGUUAACACUGACGCUCAGGCACGAAAGCGUGGGGAGCAAACAGG
Molecule: ribosomal RNA, 253 nt
Filed under: uncultured bacterium
Lineage: Bacteria
Description: partial 16S ribosomal RNA
Rfam family: Bacterial small subunit ribosomal RNA
Source: RNAcentral